AUAUACACGGCAGUGAGGCGCGGGGUGCUAAGGUCACGCGCCGAGAGGGAAAGAACCCAGACCAUCAGCUAAGGUCCCCAAGUUACAGUUAAGUUGAACUAACGAGGUCCGAUUGCAUAGACAGCUAGGAUGUUGGCUUGGAAGCAGCCAUUCAUUUAAAGAGUGCGUAACAGCUCACUAGUCGAGCGAUCGGGCAUGGAUAAUAAACGGGCAUUAAACUGUACACCGAAGCUAUGGGUAAUAUUAAUAUUACGGUAGGGGAGCAUUCCAGCGGCAGCGAAGUUAUGACGUAAGUUGUGGUGGAGCUUCUGGAAAAGCAAAUG
RNAcentral lists this ribosomal RNA (323 nucleotides) under Bacillus toyonensis. RNAcentral's name for it is "bacterial LSU rRNA". It matches the Rfam family "Bacterial large subunit ribosomal RNA", at positions 971 to 1296 of the family's 2925-position model. The record is from RNAcentral. Lineage: Bacteria; Bacillati; Bacillota; Bacilli; Caryophanales; Bacillaceae.